GAUGAACGCUGGCGGCGUGCCUAACACAUGCAAGUCGAACGGAGUCGUUUUGGAAAUCUCUUCGGAGAUGGAAUUCUCGACUUAGUGGCGGACGGGUGAGUAACGCGUGAGCAAUCUGCCUUUAAGAGGGGGAUAACAGUCGGAAACGGCUGCUAAUACCGCAUAAAGCAUUAAAUUCGCAUGUUUUUGAUGCCAAAGGAGCAAUCCGCUUUUAGAUGAGCUCGCGUCUGAUUAGCUAGUUGGCGGGGUAACGGCCCACCAAGGCGACGAUCAGUAGCCGGACUGAGAGGUUGAACGGCCACAUGGGGACUGAGACACGGCCCAGACUCCUACGGGAGGCAGCAGUGGGGAAUAUUGCGCAAUGGGGGAAACCCUGACGCAGCAACGCCGCGUGAUUGAAGAAGGCCUUCGGGUUGUAAAGAUCUUUAAUCAGGGACGAAACAAAUGACGGUACCUGAAGAAUAAGCUCCGGCUAACUACGUG
Molecule: ribosomal RNA, 483 nt
Filed under: uncultured bacterium
Lineage: Bacteria
Description: partial 16S ribosomal RNA
Rfam family: Bacterial small subunit ribosomal RNA
Source: RNAcentral